RNAcentral lists this ribosomal RNA (808 nucleotides) under Siparuna cristata. Its description in RNAcentral is "eukaryotic LSU rRNA". The stretch from base 370 to 525 matches the Rfam family "5.8S ribosomal RNA". The record is from RNAcentral. Lineage: Eukaryota; Viridiplantae; Streptophyta; Magnoliopsida; Laurales; Siparunaceae.
AAGUGUUCGGAUCGCGUCGACGUGGGCGGUUCGCUGCCGGUGACGUCGCGAGAAGUCCACUGAACCUUAUCAUUUAGAGGAAGGAGAAGUCGUAACAAGGUUUCCGUAGGUGAACCUGCGGAAGGAUCAUUGCCGAGAACCGAUGACCACUGGUGAACCAGCCCCACUUUGCUCGACCGUCCAUCGUGCGCGACACAGUGCCCUCGAUUUGAUGCAUUGGGAGCUGCUGGCUGCGAGCGACCGAACGGGCAGAAAACCAUCACGGCGCGGUUAGCGCCAAGGGCCCAUGGAAAAGGAUGGUGGAGCGCCAAAUGUUGUUCCGUGAAGGAAUGCUUGGGCGCCCGCUGUGCGCGAAAAGAAUCGAAAUACGACUCUCGGCAGCGGAUAUCUCGGCUCUCGCAUCGAUGAAGGACGUAGCGAAAUGCGAUACUUGGUGUGAAUUGCAGAAUCCAGUGAACCAUCGAGUCUUCGAACGCAAGUUGCGCCCGAGGCCAUUGGGCCAAGGGCACGCCUGCCUGGGCGUCUCGCCAUUCGCUGCCCCCCUCCCAAGCAAGGGGUGAGGUGGGAUGCGGACGAUUGGCCUCCCGUGUUGCCCUGGAUGUUGCGCGGCUGGCUGAAAGUCUUGCCAUGGCGUGCGGCGUGGCCCGACGAUUGGUGGUCUGGGUGUUUUUGCCCGAAAGUCGUCGUGACCUCUCUGCCGCGCGCGAGCGUGGAAGCUUGGGACCCCAGUUGCCCGUAGUGUCGGGGGAACGGACUGUGACCCCAGGUCAGGCGGGGCCACCCGCUGAGUUUAGCAUAUUAAUAAGCG